RNAcentral lists this ribosomal RNA (374 nucleotides) under uncultured bacterium. Its description in RNAcentral is "bacterial SSU rRNA". It matches the Rfam family "Bacterial small subunit ribosomal RNA", at positions 521 to 894 of the family's 1533-position model. The record is from RNAcentral.
UAAUACAGAGGGUGCAAGCGUUAAUCGGAAUUACUGGGCGUAAAGCGUGCGUAGGUGGUUUUUUAAGUCAGGUGUGAAAUCCCGGGCUCAACCUGGGAACUGCAUUCGAUACUGAAGAGCUAGAGUGUGGUAGAGGAUAGUGGAAUUCCCGGUGUAGCGGUGAAAUGCGUAGAUAUCGGGAGGAACAUCAGUGGCGAAGGCGGCUAUCUGGACCAACACUGACACUGAGGCACGAAAGCGUGGGUAGCAAACAGGAUUAGAUACCCUGGUAGUCCACGCCGUAAACGAUGGGCACUAGACGUCGGAAGGUUAAUCCUUUUGGUGUCGCAGCUAACGCAAUAAGUGCCCCGCCUGGGGAGUACGGCCGACAAGGU